This 765-nucleotide ribosomal RNA is filed under the name uncultured Streptococcus sp. RNAcentral's name for it is "bacterial SSU rRNA". It matches the Rfam family "Bacterial small subunit ribosomal RNA", at positions 28 to 776 of the family's 1533-position model. The record is from RNAcentral. Lineage: Bacteria; Bacillati; Bacillota; Bacilli; Lactobacillales; Streptococcaceae.
GACGAACGCUGGCGGCGUGCCUAAUACAUGCAAGUAGAACGCUGAAGAGAGGAGCUUGCUCUUCUUGGAUGAGUUGUGAACGGGUGAGUAACGCGUAGGUAACCUGCCUGGUAGCGGGGGAUAACUAUUGGAAACGAUAGCUAAUACCGCAUAAGAGUAGAUGUUGCAUGACAUUUGCUUAAAAGGUGCAAUUGCAUCACUACCAGAUGGACCUGCGUUGUAUUAGCUAGUUGGUGAGGUAACGGCUCACCAAGGCGACGAUACAUAGCCGACCUGAGAGGGUGAUCGGCCACACUGGGACUGAGACACGGCCCAGACUCCUACGGGAGGCAGCAGUAGGGAAUCUUCGGCAAUGGACGGAAGUCUGACCGAGCAACGCCGCGUGAGUGAAGAAGGUUUUCGGAUCGUAAAGCUCUGUUGUAAGAGAAGAACGAGCGUGAGAGUGGAAAGUUCACACUGUGACGGUAUCUUACCAGAAAGGGACGGCUAACUACGUGCCAGCAGCCGCGGUAAUACGUAGGUCCCGAGCGUUGUCCGGAUUUAUUGGGCGUAAAGCGAGCGCAGGCGGUUAGAUAAGUCUGAAGUUAAAGGCUGUGGCUUAACCAUAGUACGCUUUGGAAACUGUUUAACUUGAGUGCAAGAGGGGAGAGUGGAAUUCCAUGUGUAGCGGUGAAAUGCGUAGAUAUAUGGAGGAACACCGGUGGCGAAAGCGGCUCUCUGGCUUGUAACUGACGCUGAGGCUCGAAAGCGUGGGGAGCAAACAGG